RNAcentral lists this ribosomal RNA (469 nucleotides) under Rossellomorea marisflavi. RNAcentral describes it as "bacterial SSU rRNA". It matches the Rfam family "Bacterial small subunit ribosomal RNA", at positions 1 to 461 of the family's 1533-position model. The record is from RNAcentral. Lineage: Bacteria; Bacillati; Bacillota; Bacilli; Caryophanales; Bacillaceae.
UUAUGGAGAGUUUGAUCCUGGCUCAGGACGAACGCUGGCGGCGUGCCUAAUACAUGCAAGUCGAGCGGAUCGAUGGGAGCUUGCUCCCUGAGAUCAGCGGCGGACGGGUGAGUAACACGUGGGUAACCUGCCUGUAAGACUGGGAUAACUCCGGGAAACCGGGGCUAAUACCGGAUAACACCUACCCCCGCAUGGGGGAAGGUUGAAAGGUGGCUUCGGCUAUCACUUACAGAUGGACCCGCGGCGCAUUAGCUAGUUGGUGAGGUAACGGCUCACCAAGGCGACGAUGCGUAGCCGACCUGAGAGGGUGAUCGGCCACACUGGGACUGAGACACGGCCCAGACUCCUACGGGAGGCAGCAGUAGGGAAUCUUCCGCAAUGGACGAAAGUCUGACGGAGCAACGCCGCGUGAGUGAAGAAGGUUUUCGGAUCGUAAAACUCUGUUGUUAGGGAAGAACAAGUGCCGUUC